UACGGGGGGAGCAAGCGUUGUUCGGAUUUACUGGGCGUAAAGGGCGCGUAGGCGGUCAGCACAAGUCAGUUGUGAAAUCUCCGGGCUUAACCCGGAAAGGUCAAGUGAUACUGUCGGACUAGAGUACAGAAGGGGCAACUGGAAUUCUCGGUGUAGCGGUGAAAUGCGUAGAUAUCGAGAGGAACACCUGCGGCGAAGGCGGGUUGCUGGGCUGAUACUGACGCUGAUGCGCGAAAGCCAGGGGAGCGAACGGG
Molecule: ribosomal RNA, 254 nt
Filed under: uncultured bacterium
Lineage: Bacteria
Description: partial 16S ribosomal RNA
Rfam family: Bacterial small subunit ribosomal RNA
Source: RNAcentral